This is a long non-coding RNA of Vespula vulgaris, 4372 nucleotides long. RefSeq lists it as uncharacterized. The record is from RefSeq and is a predicted model, not a curated record. Lineage: Eukaryota; Metazoa; Arthropoda; Insecta; Hymenoptera; Vespidae. The transcript has 4 exons.
CUGUUCCUAUAUCAUUUCAAACGCAAUCUUUAGAUUUAACAUUUAGACAAAAUAUUCUAGUCUAAUCCAGACUAGAUACCUAAUCAAAUAAUUUUCUCAGAAUAAUAUCAAUCUUUUUUUUUCGUUUAGCUAGUAUAUGUACUAACGGUAUAAGGUGUGAUCGUGACCAACACACUCUUUUUUGUCGAUGUCCUCGUUGAUUUAUUCAUCUUCGAAUAUAAGUCUUAAUCAUCCACGAGUGUAGAAACUUUAUUCUCGAAAACUCAUAGUCGAACAAGAACGACAACAAUGACAACAAUAAUAAUAACGAUAAUUGUCACGAUUAUGAAUGCGACGACACAACUGAGAUUUUUCCAAACUCUUUCUUGAUAUAAUUUCCAAGUCCUACGGAUCAGGUUUUUCUAACGAAUAGGGAGAAAAGUUCGAUCACGAUGUCGUUAGAUUCACAGCGUGUUGUUGCCAAUCUUGGAACUCGUUAAUCGUAAAAACCAAUUCUUGCCGGACUUCCUGAUACGUUCGAAGAAUCGGAAAAGGAAUGAACGAACGGUUAUUAUUUCACAAAGACACCGAGUGAGAUGACAUUUUCCGAUAAAGAUGUGUAUGUAUGUAUGUUUGUACGUAUAUAUAUUUCAGUCAAUGUAUAAAAGUACGUACAAGGCUACCUUGAAACCGAUCGCACAGCGAGCUCAGUCCUCGCGUAACUGAAAACAGACGCAACCGUUUCUUACGUCGCGCUCCUUCGUGUUCUUAUGUAAGAGCCACCUAUUAUUUUGCGCGUCUGCCGCAAUUCGCAAGAAACUGACAAUGCAAGAAGAUAGAAAGAGAGAAAGAGAAAAGAAAAAAGGAGAGAGAGAGAGAGAGAGAUAAAGAAAGACGAGUAAAUCGAACGAGAGGAAAAAGAGAUAGACUAGACGUCCGUUCGCACGCGUGGACAUCGAAGGACUGAGCUUGCUUAUCCGAUUAUUAUUACAAAUCGAUCGGUCUAAUACACUCACACAUACACACACGUAGAGAGUAUCCGACUCACGCUUCGAUAGCACCCAACUAGUCGACGAUAAGAAAAAGCAAUGACGAUAAUACGUUAAUAAGAGUCUCGUUAGACUGACUUUUACAUGCGUUUUCUCGACUUGCGUUAGAGUUAAGCACUGUUGUUAGAUUGUAAGGAAAGGAAGAAAGGUGUCGAUCGGUCUACCGAGUUUCACAGUCUCCUUUCUUUCUCUCUUUUAUUCAACUUUUUCUUUUUCUUUUUUCUUGCUUUUUUUCUGUUCUUUUUUUUUCCCUCUCUGAUCCUUUCCACAGCUGACUAUGAAAUCGAUGAACUCGGAGAAAGUCGUCGAGGAUGCUCCCGAGAGCGUGGCGGCUCGUUAAUCGCCGUAUUUGAUAGAAAAAUAGAAAGAGAAAAGAGUUCGAGUAAUUAUAACGAUCUCGUUAAUAAAGAUCGAUAGGAUCGAUUCUACCGAAUGGAUGAGACAUCAUCGAUCUCUAUGUUCAUACACUGUGUUCACCCAUCUACAUACGUACAUGUACACACGCACGCACACGCGUUAAGUUCAUUUUCAAGAUGUUAUUUACGCUUUUGACGUGAAAUAAUUAAUCACUGUAACGCUCGCGUAGAGUAUGCGAUACGAUAAAAGGAGAACUUCGUUUAUCGUCGAAUUUAUCUUUUCGAACGGAUCGUCGGUGGUCAGUUUGUCUUUCGCCGAUUGAAUUGAAAGAAUAAAUAAGAAAAGCGAAGGAAGAAAGAAAGAUAGAAAGGAAGACAGUGAAAAAGAGAGAAAAUGCGUGACAAAACGAUGCAAUGCUCGUGACUUUAAGGUGCAAACUACCUCGCUCUAUCUCGUGAACGUCGUUUCGACGGUACCAACGUCGCAACUAAAUAAUCGUAUCGCGAGGAAACCUGCAGAUUCAUCCAACCUGAACGGUGAGGCCAGGUACGAUGCCUCGGCAAACACCACAGCCAAGACGACCUUUCUCACCGACGAGUAUUCGGAUCCUAACUUCACUGUUUGAAACGGCUCCCACACCAGUCUCGUUGUACUGCAGCUGUUGUUGCUGCUGUUGCACCAUGUGCCAGCACGAGGACCUGCUGAUUUUUCACCAAAAGGGCAACUUCCUGAUGUACGGCAUCUUCAACUGGAUAUCCAUUUACCCUGAGGAUUUGAUCCCCUACCUAUAACGAAUAAGUACGAGUCAAUUAAAUAGAAAUUGAAUUAAUCUUCUUAAUCACAUCGUUUAAUUCGACCGACCCUCAAUCCGUUUCUAUGAGCUUCGCCACCAGGUUGAACGUUACUGAUGUAAAAUCCAGCAGCGUAUUCUCUACCACCUCGCAAUGAGAAGCCGAAACCGGAUGCACCUCGACGUCUCAAUCUAACGUUCCUGGUAACGCCGAUGACGGCCAUUCUGCCGCCUCCCACCGGAUUUCCAGGACCUGCACCGUUCGAUGAUCCCGUUCCAGCACUAGAUGCGCUGGAAGAGCCACCGGAUCUGUAAACAUCGAAGGAUGGAUCUUACCUGUUCUUACAUCAUAAACUUUUGCCUACAUGUAAAAGAAGAAACGAAUACUUAUAUAUAUUUUCGUAGGACGAACGUCCACUCCUCAGCGCUUAUCGAUGCAAAAUGUGGAUAUUCUUCGAUGGAUCCUCCACUCAAACACUUUACAGAAGGUUCAUCGUACGAUGAAAGGGUUUCUUUUCGUCUCGAUUCUUCCUCUCUUUGGAUGAGAGGAUUCUCGAAAGUGAUACACAAAGAUGAUAAGCUAGCCAAGCUAUUUUACUGUCUCUCUUUCUCCGACUUUUUUUCUUAUUUUUUAAAUAUCGAUUGAAUUCCUAAUUUCUUCGUACUUUUUAGAAAAGUCGAUAUGUCCGUUUUAUUAUAUGUUUUAGAUAAGAUCUCCACUUCGAUUUAAUUUUGGAUCUCGUUUAUAGCUAGCAUGUAUCUGUAUCUACGGGUUUGCGAUCGUUAAAGUCCAAUGGGAUCUUUUUAUCAUCGGCAACUUUCGUUUCUCCUUUUUCUACCUCCAUUUCAUCGUCGUUCGAACGUCGUUAAUCGGCAGAAAUAUUGACUCUGAAAGACGUCACGCCUUUCGAAUCGUCACGGAUAUCGCCAUGGCCGAGAACGUGGAUGGAAAACCGAUGGAAACGAGUAGCGGGAUCAUCGAUAGGUAAGUUAGAAUGAACAAAAGAGUUGGUGUAACGUAGGAUGAUUGUUAAAACGAUAUAUGUAUGCAUGUACGAACUUUCAUCGUCGAUCUUAUAACUGCAGUUUUAGAAUUUACAUACAUACCUAUGUAUAUUCUAGAAUACUUUAAAAUAUACAAUUAUCGCGUAUAAGAUAUAUAUAUUAUCAAUAUUUUUAAGAAUAUUCUAAGACGAAAUAUUAUAAUAUAAAGUAUAAAGUUUUAGUAGAUGUAAAAUUAGAAUAUGGUAUCAAAAAAAUAGUUAAAGAAUGUAUUAUAAAAUACUUUUUGAAUAUUUUAAUAUAUAUAUAUCUGUGUAUGGAUAUGUAAGACGUUCUUUUCGACGACACGCUAGUGCGUAAGAAAUGUGCGUGCACUUGAAAGAUUGAGAGAGAGAGAGAGAGAGAGAGAGAGAGAGAGAGAAAAAGAGAGAGAUGUGUGUCAGCGGGUCACUGACAUCCAUCAACGCCAACGAACUUCGACGUUUGCCUACUUCUUAUACGGCUAAUUUCUUUUCAUUAGGAAAAGCAUGCUACUCGACCGACCUAUCGAAGCAUCUUAUCCUUCCACGAAAAACUUCUCUCUUUCUUUCUCUUUCUGGAAAAGUCUUUUCCAUCGAUUUUCAAACUGCAAUCAUAUAAAAUACAUUCGCAUAGCUUUAGCAUAAGAUCUCUUAACCCUCUAUAACAUUAUGUAACUUUAAAGUUUCAUAUUUUUUACGAUUAUUACUUCAUAUUUGUAGUUUGAAUGUUUUUUAAGUAACACUUAUACUCACUGGCGAAUUUAGCCUUCAAGAGAUCCAAAGCGUUAUAUAUUUUUAGAGUCCCUUUUUUAAAAUAAAUCAAUUAUGCAAAAUAUAUACUUUCUCGCUUCAAUUGUUCAUGCAAAUGAUAAAGUGAAGAGUACAAAUUUGAUUAUAGUCGUAAAUAGAAAAAGAAAAAUUAUAUAUCGACCAUCAGAUAUUAAAUUGAAUUUAUUGUAUAACAUAAAUAUAUAUUAUCGUGUGCGGACCCUUGUCUUACGAAGCCCGAGGCGACCGCCUCCACUGCUAGUGGGUAAAUCCGUCUGACUGAUUAUACUUGCAAUUAGUAUAGAGAGUUUAAAGUAUAUAUAGUUUAGUUUAUUAAAGUUAAAUUUUCUAUGGUAUAAAUGCUAUACAAAAUAUAAUACUCGUACGUAUUAGUACAAAUUAUACGA